Molecule: ribosomal RNA, 450 nt
Filed under: uncultured bacterium
Lineage: Bacteria
Description: partial 16S ribosomal RNA
Rfam family: Bacterial small subunit ribosomal RNA
Source: RNAcentral
GUGGGGAAUCUUCCACAAUGGGCGAAAGCCUGAUGGAGCAACGCCGCGUGAGUGAUGAAGGCCUUCGGGUUGUAAAGCUCUGUUAUUCGGGACGAAAGGCUCUGCGGACAAUACCCGCAGGGAUUGACGGUACCGGAAGAGAAAGCCACGGCUAACUACGUGCCAGCAGCCGCGGUAAUACGUAGGUGGCAAGCGUUGUCCGGAAUUAUUGGGCGUAAAGCGCGCGCAGGCGGCCUUUUAAGUCCAUCUUAAAAGCGUGGGGCUCAACCCCAUGAUGGGAUGGAAACUGAGAGGCUGGAGUAUCGGAGAGGAAAGCGGAAUUCCUAGUGUAGCGGUGAAAUGCGUAGAGAUUAGGAAGAACACCAGUGGCGAAGGCGGCUUUCUGGACGACAACUGACGCUGAGGCGCGAAAGCGUGGGGAGCAAACAGGAUUAGAAACCCGAGUAGUCC